GNNAGUCGACGGCAGCACGGGGGCNACCCUGGUGGCGAGUGGCGAACGGGUGANUNNCNUNUNGGAACGUGCCCUGGAGUGGGGGAUAACUAGUCGAAAGAUUAGCUAAUACCGCAUACGAUCUACGGAUGAAAGUGGGGGAUCGCAAGACCUCAUGCUCGUGGAGCGGCCGAUAUCUGAUUAGCUAGUUGGUGGGGUAAAGGCCUACCAAGGCAUCGAUCAGUAGCUGGUCUGAGAGGACGACCAGCCACACUGGGACUGAGACACGGCCCAGACUCCUACGGGAGGCAGCAGUGGGGAAUUUUGGACAAUGGGCGCAAGCCUGAUCCAGCAAUGCCGCGUGAGUGAAGAAGGCCUUCGGGUUGUAAAGCUCUUCUGUCAGGGAAGAAACGGUGGAGGUUAAUACCUUCUGCUAAUGACGGUACCUGAAGAAUAAGCACCGGCUAACUACGUGCCAGCAGCCGCGGUAAUACGUAGGGUGCAAGCGUUAAUCGGAAUUACUGGGCGUAAAGCGUGCGCAGGCGGUUGUGCAAGACAGAUGUGAAAUCCCCGGGCUCAACCUGGGAAUUGCAUUUGUGACUGUACGGCUAGAGUGUGUCAGAGGGGGGUAGAAUUCCACGUGUAGCAGUGAAAUGCGUAGAGAUGUGGAGGAAUACCGAUGGCGAAGGCAGCCCCCUGGGAUAACACUGACGCUCAUGCACGAAAGCGUGGGGAGCAAACAGGAUUAGAUACCCUGNUAGUCCACGCCCUAAACGAUGUCUACUAGUUGUCGGGUCUUUAUUGACUUGGUAACGCAGCUAACGCGUGAAGUAGACCGCCUGGGGAGUACGGUCGCAAGAUUAAAACUCAANGNAUUGACNGGGACCCGCACAAGCNG
Molecule: ribosomal RNA, 877 nt
Filed under: uncultured bacterium
Lineage: Bacteria
Description: bacterial SSU rRNA
Rfam family: Bacterial small subunit ribosomal RNA
Source: RNAcentral